Chiloscyllium plagiosum (whitespotted bambooshark) is the source of this 1227-nucleotide non-coding RNA. Lineage: Eukaryota; Metazoa; Chordata; Chondrichthyes; Orectolobiformes; Hemiscylliidae. The record is from RefSeq and is a predicted model, not a curated record.
CUGGAUGCUAGAAUACAGUGUUUAAAUGGUCAUUUAACAUACUAUUUUUAAAAAAAACAGUAAUAUUUAAGUUCAUCAAAUUAACCAAUCUUGAAUUAAAACCUAACUGUCCAAAUAUUGAUCAAUAUUUGGUUCACAGGUUUUGUCCAUUUGAUAAAGGUAUUGGUGAGUGCAUACAGAAGGACAAUUUCCCUAAACGUGUUCUAUCUUUUGCCUCAAGAACAUAAAUUAGUGAAAUGAAUGUGAAUCCAUUUUGUUGUACAAUAGGAUGCAACAAACAGCAAGAAUGACUAAUAUAUCUUUAAUGGUAAUGGUUGACAGAAGAAUGUUGACCAAUAGAAUUGCCUGCUAUUAUAUGGAUUUUUUUUAUUGUUCACUAAAGGCACUAAAGCAUGUAGAUGUGGUAUUACACCUCAUCUGAAAGAUUGUUCUUUCAAUAAUACUGCACUUCCUCAGCACUUCUACAUCAGCUUAGAUUGCAAGCUCUUAUCAUUAGCAGUUUCCCAGUCAGAGCGCCAAAAAAAAAAAUCAAACUACAAAAAAUUUAUUGUUUCCAGGAUUGUAGUGUUAGUACAACUUGAAGUGCACCAAAUAAAAAAUGAAAUAAAAUACUUGGUAGAAAAUAAGAAUGAACUUUAAAAGUAGAACAUUAUAUAGAUGUAUAAAAUCCUUGAACAAAAAGAUUGGUCAGUCUCCAGUGCAUAAAUAACAAUGGAAAAUAUCUGUUAUUCCCAUUUACUUCAGAGGUGAGAUUAUAAUCCCUCAGCCGGCUACAAAAUGAAGUAUUGAUUUUUUUUUUCACUUAGUUCAAGGCCACAGGAAGUUCAUGAAUUCAUACAAAACCUUUGGAUACCUGCCACAUUCCAGCUACUGUACUUGGCUCCAAAUGGAUCAUCAGCUGAGCAAUUAUUUUUAAACAAAAACCUCAAAUUUGGAAGAAAAAGAAUCAAGCUCCCAUGUCAUGUAGAGUUUGUAAUGGAAUGAAGUUCAUCACCAUCACUGCUUGAAACACUGCUGUAAUCCCAGAAAACAUGAACAAAUGGCUUAAAGAUUGAUUUUCCAGAAUAAGUUGGGAUCUUGGCAGAGAUGACUGACUCUUCAAAAAAAAAGGAAUGAGAACCAUAAAGUCAAAGAGCUGCACAGACUCGGACUCUUAGGUCCAACUCAUCCAUGCUAACCAGAUAUCCUGGAUUAAUCUACUCUCAUUUGCCAGCAUUUGGCCCAUAU